This 305-nucleotide ribosomal RNA is filed under the name uncultured bacterium. Its description in RNAcentral is "bacterial SSU rRNA". It matches the Rfam family "Bacterial small subunit ribosomal RNA", at positions 339 to 660 of the family's 1533-position model. The record is from RNAcentral.
CCACGGGGGGCAGCAGUCGGGAAUAUUGCGCAAUGGAGGAAACUCUGACGCAGUGACGCCGCGUAUAGGAAGAAGUUUUUCGGAAUGUAAACUAUUGUCGUUAGGGAAGAGAAAGGACAGUACCUAAGGAGGAAGCUCCGGUUAACUCCGUGCCAGCAGCCGCGGUAAUACGGAGGAUCCAAGCGUUAUCCGGAUUUAUUGGGUUUAAAGGGUGCGUAGGCGGAUUGAUAAGUUAGAGGUGAAAUGUCCGAGCUUAACUCGGGAACUGCCUCUAAUACUGUUGAUCUAGAGAGUAGAUGCGGUAG